UUACAAGAAUGCCCCUAAUGGCAAACUUGUAAAUAAAUGAACAACCUAAUUAAUAUCUAGAUAUUUUCUCUACUUAAACUUGGUGCCCAAGUUAAUCCAUCAUCUUCUCCAUUUUGUAGGUGCCGAAUACACCAUAGCUCCCAACACAAAACUUUAUACUUACAAUUUCUCUCAAAACUUUCUUCACGAAAAUUGUCGGGAAUAUUGCGUAGAUCGUGUAGGUGUAUUUGCAUGUUGAAUCAAGAUCCAGCGAGUUUUGUCGCGGAAACCGGCGAGCAAAGGUUUUGAUAUUCGACGGGUGGUAUUUUUAUAUUUGGAAUAAGCGAGUACUGUGAGUGUGUUUACAACUUAUACUGCUAAAUAUUAGUAUUAAAAAUAUUGCGAACUGCUUUA
Mercurialis annua (annual mercury) is the source of this 393-nucleotide long non-coding RNA. RefSeq lists it as uncharacterized. Lineage: Eukaryota; Viridiplantae; Streptophyta; Magnoliopsida; Malpighiales; Euphorbiaceae. The record is from RefSeq and is a predicted model, not a curated record. The transcript is spliced from 2 exons.